Molecule: ribosomal RNA, 493 nt
Filed under: uncultured bacterium
Lineage: Bacteria
Description: bacterial SSU rRNA
Rfam family: Bacterial small subunit ribosomal RNA
Source: RNAcentral
GAUCCUGGCUCAGAUUGAACGCUGGCGGAAUGCUUUACACAUGCAAGUCGAACGGUAGAGGGGCAACCCCUUGAGAGUGGCGAACGGGUGAGUAAUAUAUCGGAACGUGCCCAGUCGUGGGGGAUAACGUAGUGAAAAUUACGCUAAUACCGCAUACGAUCUAGGGAUGAAAGCGGGGGGAUCGCAAGACCUCGCGCGAUUGGAGCGGCCGAUAUCAGAUUAGGUAGUUGGUAGGGUAAAGGCCUACCAAGCCAACGAUCUGUAGCUGGUCUGAGAGGACGACCAGCCACACUGGAACUGAGACACGGUCCAGACUCCUACGGGAGGCAGCAGUGGGGAAUUUUGGACAAUGGGCGAAAGCCUGAUCCAGCCAUUCCGCGUGCAGGAUGAAGGCCCUCGGGUUGUAAACUGCUUUUGUACAGAACGAAAAGGUCUCUAUUAAUACUAGGGGCUCAUGACGGUACUGUAAGAAUAAGCACCGGCUAACUACGUG